Molecule: long non-coding RNA, 219 nt
Filed under: Mytilus galloprovincialis (Mediterranean mussel)
Lineage: Eukaryota; Metazoa; Mollusca; Bivalvia; Mytilida; Mytilidae
Source: RNAcentral
GUGUAUAUAUUGCCACAUUUGGGGUGUAAAUAGCAACAUAUUACAAGAAAAUUAGCUCGGAAAAAAUUAAAAAACAAUUUUCUCAAACAAUCGAUUCUUUAUUCAGGGCCAUUACUAAACAUACUCCUUUUACCUGAAACACAUUUCUAUAGUAACUGGGAAAAUUAGCUUAUUUGCAUAAUCAUAACCCUGACAAAAAUAACUUACAUGCCAUUUAAA